Molecule: ribosomal RNA, 558 nt
Filed under: uncultured bacterium
Lineage: Bacteria
Description: partial 16S ribosomal RNA
Rfam family: Bacterial small subunit ribosomal RNA
Source: RNAcentral
UGGGGAAUAUUGGACAAUGGGGGCAACCCUGGUCCAGCCAUGCCGCGUGAGUGAUGAAGGCCUUAGGGUUGUAAAGCUCUUUCACCCGGGACGAUAAUGACGGUACCGGGAGAAGAAGCCCCGGCUAACUUCGUGCCAGCAGCCGCGGUAAUACGAAGGGGGCUAGCGUUGUUCGGAAUCACUGGGCGUAAAGCGCACGUAGGCGGACCGUUAAGUCGGAGGUGAAAUCCUGGGGCUCAACCCCAGAACUGCCUUCGAUACUGGCGGUCUCGAGUCCGGGAAGAGGUGAGUGGAACUGCCAGUGUAGAGGUGAAAUUCGUAGAUAUUGGCAAGAACACCAGUGGCGAAGGCGGCUCACUGGUCCGGUACUGACGCUGAGGCGCGAAAGCGUGGGGAGCAACAGGAUUAGAUACCCUGGUAGUCCACGCCGUAAACGAUGAAUGCCAGCCGUCGGGCAGCAUGCUGUUCGGUGCGCAGCUAACGCUUUAAGCAUCCGCCUGGGGAGUACGGUCGCAAGAUUAAAACUCAAAUGAAUUGACGGGGUCAUAGCUGUUUCCU